RNAcentral lists this ribosomal RNA (330 nucleotides) under uncultured soil bacterium. RNAcentral's name for it is "bacterial SSU rRNA". It matches the Rfam family "Bacterial small subunit ribosomal RNA", at positions 26 to 359 of the family's 1533-position model. The record is from RNAcentral.
AGAUUGAACGCUAGCGGGAUGCUUUACACAUGCAAGUCGAACGGCAGCGCGGACUUCGGUCUGGCGGCGAGUGGCGAACGGGUGAGUAAUAUAUCGGAACGUGCCCAGUAGCGGGGGGAUAACGUACGCGAAAGCGUGGCUAAUACCGCAUACGCCCUACGGGGGAAAGGGGGGGAUUCUUCGGAACCUCUCACUAUUGGAGCGGCCGAUAUCAGAUUAGCUAGUUGGUGAGGUAAAGGCUCACCAAGGCGACGAUCUGUAGCUGGUUUAGAGAGGACGACCAGCCACACGUGGACUGAGACACGGCCCAGACUCCAGGGAGCAGCGAGU